This is a long non-coding RNA of Gasterosteus aculeatus aculeatus (three-spined stickleback), 857 nucleotides long. The record is from Ensembl. Lineage: Eukaryota; Metazoa; Chordata; Actinopteri; Perciformes; Gasterosteidae.
GAGGAAGAAGGAAAGGAGGAGAGAGCGAUGGGAACGAGGAAACGCUUUCUCUCCUUAUGUUUAAUCCUGUGGAUCCUCACACCCCAAAAUCUAAAAUAAAGGAGAAAAAACUAAGAUAGGAGGUCAGACGAGGAGAAGGAGAGAGAGGGGGGCAAAGGAAGGAGAGAAGGAGAGAGGGGUAAAGGAAGGAGAGAAGGAGCCGAGGAGAAGGAGAGAGAGGUGUAAAGGAAGGAGAGAAGGAGCCGAGGAGAAGGAGAGAGGUGUAAAGGAAGGAGAGAAGGAGCCAAGGAGAAGGAGAGAGAGGGGGGUAAAGGAAGGAGAGAAGGAGAGAGAGGGGGGUAAAGGAAGGAGAGAAGGAGCCGAGGAGAAGGAGAGAGGGGUAAAGGAGGGAGAGAAGGAGCUGAGGAGAAGGAGAGAGAGGUGUAAAAGAAGGAGAGAAGGAGCCGAGGAGAAGGAGAGAGGUGUAAAGGAAGGAGAGAAGGAGCCGAGGAGAAGGAGAGAGGUUUUAAGGAAGGAGAGAAGGAGCCGAGGAGAAGAGAGAGAGAGGUGUAAAGGAAGGAGAGAAGGAGCCGAGGAGAAGGAGAGAAGGAGACAAGGACAGAGGAGGGACAGAGAGAAGCUUCUCUGUGAGAUGAAAGAGGCCACAUGUUCCUCCUCAAGUGUGUGUUUCUUUAUUUCUACUUUAAUGUGCGUAUUAAACAUUCACACAUGUAAAGCUUUUAUUUGUGUAAACAUCGGCGUCAACCACGACUUAAAUAAACUACUGACCUCAAAGGCAUCUUGUAAACACUGAGCCGCGUUACGUUUAGCUUCUGAAUGCUCAUUGGAGGAAUAAUUAUCGUUGUUUAAUAUUCGAC